This 338-nucleotide long non-coding RNA is filed under the name Mytilus galloprovincialis (Mediterranean mussel). Lineage: Eukaryota; Metazoa; Mollusca; Bivalvia; Mytilida; Mytilidae. The record is from RNAcentral.
GCUUGAUGUUCAUAUGAUGAAAUCAUAAUCUUUCAGUCAGUUUAAUUGAAUCUGGAGCUGGCAUGUCAGUUAACUGCUAGUAGUCUGUUGUUAUGUAUGUAUUAUUAUCAUUUUGUUUAUUUUCUUUGGUUACAUCUUCUGACAUCAGACUUGGACUUCUCUUGAACUGAAUUUUAAUGUGCGUAUUGUUAUGCGUUUACUUUUCUACAUUGGCUAGAGGUAUAGGGGAGGGUUGAGAUCUCACAAACAUGUUUAACCCCGCCGCAUUUUUGCGCCUGUCCCAAGUCAGGAGCCUCUGGCCUUUGUUAGUCUUGUAUUAUUUUAAUUUUAGUUUCUUG